GGAAGGACAGAGCGGCUGAAAGAUGAUUGGAAAGCCAAACGCCGCAGCGACUCCCCACGGCGGCAAAGAGCAGUGGGGCACCUCCCCUCCCCUAAGAAAGUAGGAGAGCCGGCUUGAGGCAAAAUAUGGAGGAGGCACCGUUGUUCUACUUCCGCCGUCUUUAUCAAAGAAACUUCCGGUGGCGGGACGUUUUGCGACCCCAAAAUGGCAUCGCAAACUAGUCUUCGAAAUCCAGAGACUUCUCCUCGGUGUAGGGGCCUACGUGACUUAAACCUGAAAUCUCCAGCACAUGCCAAGCCCUUGUUCUGAGCUGAAUGGGAGGGACGCGGAUGGAUGACACGCUACCUAGUUUUCGUUCAGACCGCCACUAAAUGACAUUACUCGAGUCUAAGGAAUCUUAAACUUUAGGGUCCCUCACUUCUGGAAUGUUCCAGGUUGAGGAUGGGAAGCCAGCAUGCCAUCGGAAAGCGACUCUGUACAAUAAGAAUUUCUGAUAAACUGAGGGAAUCUCAGGAGUGGAAUCUGGACCUCCGAGACUCUAGUAACUUGUGACUUUUCUUGUUAAUAUUUAUUUUGUGUCUUCUCUUUAAGGGUAUAGUGUAUAAUCUUCCAACCCCCCAAACCCUGAAUCCAAAACUGCUCAUAAGGAUAACCGGAAAAAGUAAAAGGGAUCCCAGUACAAGGUGGCAAGUGUUAUGCACAAAGCGAUGGAGACUAGGACUUUGCAGAAAAGUAAAAUCUGCUCUCAAGUUGU
Suricata suricatta (meerkat) is the source of this 754-nucleotide long non-coding RNA. RefSeq lists it as uncharacterized. NCBI's taxonomy places the organism in Eukaryota, Metazoa, Chordata, Mammalia, Carnivora, Herpestidae. The transcript has 2 exons. The record is from RefSeq and is a predicted model, not a curated record.